CCAGGCAGCCCCACGGAGCGAGGGAGCAGGCUCUGACCCCGCGAGCGCCCACGGGCCUCGGCAGAUGUAGCAAGAUGGAUAAGGCCCUGGCCCCCUGGAGGAGGACAGUACUCGCAUGAACAAAUGAGUACCCAGCAGUGUCUCAGAGGAAGCUGUUCAGCUGUGCCAAAGCUCCAGGGCUCCAGGAUGGAGUCAGCACCAUUUCAGGGAACUGGGAUUCCUGACGGGGGAUGCAGCAGGAGCUCCACAAUUAUUCUACCCCUGCUGAAUUGUCUGCCAUGUACAAAUGCAGGAUGCAGCCAUGCCCAGUGACCCGUCCAUGUCAGGUCCUCACUUGCUCUUCGCUCUCUGCAUGCUGCGAACCACCUCCAUUGUUAACAGCCGCUCCAGGGGGCAUCUAGUGCCCAGGGGAGAGGUGCCUGAAACACCAUCACCAGACCUAUAUCUUCACGUCCUUGCCUUGAAAGGAAGCCUCUCAAAAUCCAAGAACCAGAGAAUUAAAACUACGCUUAGGUCAACACAGUGCCGGUGUUCAGAUGAAAAUACUGCAAGAUCGUCAAACACAUAGAUGAAUUUUUCAAGCCACCCAAAACCUGGAUAAUGUUGAACAUUUGGAUAAUCAAAUAUAGCAACUCUAUCCAGUCUCUCUUUUGGAUGACUCACUGGACACUUUUAUAGACUGGGAAUUUUUUGACUACAAUAAUAACCAUCCUGCCAUUGAAGUUCAGCUGUUCACCGUGGCCUGGUGUCACAUAGCUACAGCUGAUGGUACUGUGUUAUGUACGAGAUAGUGAUAUGUAAAGACCAGUUUUUUACCAGACUGCUUUUCAUAAAAAGAUGUUUAAAAAGACUGGAACAUAGCACUCAAGUUUCCUCCUAAACAAUGAAUGCUCUGGCCUACAGGCCUUCUGAGAUCUGGAGACCCAUUCUUCAAAAGAGAAAGACUAUGCAUGAAAUUUAAUCCAUGCCCUCUCCUCUUAAUCAGGUUACAGAGAGAGAGGAAGGGGUGGAAGGACCUGCCAUUGAGCUGAGAGUGAAAUGCCACCGGGGUCUUUGGGACCCUAUCAAAGGCUGGGACCCUGAGACCUGUGAGGCCUGGCUGGUGCUUAAUAACGAGCUUCUGUAGUUUGCUGACCAGAAACCUCCUCACUCGUUAAAGUCGCUCCACACACUAGCUGGGACAUGCAUCUUCUGCCCUUGGCCAUUGGCUCUUUGGUUCUCGAGCCUUCAGGCUUGGAUUGCAUUCCUCACACCACUGGCUUUCCCGGUUCUCCAGAUGGCAGCGCGUGGGACUUCUCAGCCUCCGGAAUUAUAUUGUGUGCUCCAAUAAUACAGGAAAUUUUAUUAGUUGCAUUCAAUGAUGUAUCAUGAAUACCUGAAAUAGAGUCUGAUACACAGUAGGUGCUUCAAAGAUAUUGUGAACUGAACGAAUGGCUGGGAGCAAAGAGAGAGUGAGAUCUUUCAGAACUCUGGUAACAAUAACGCCGUCUCCAAAUGUCGUGCCUUUUGCUGAAGGAGCGUCUUCCCGAUUUUAAUGGUCGCUGUUCUCCGUAUAAAAAAAGCCAGGAUCCCCCUGGAGUGCCAGGACCUCCCACCUGCGGCAGUCCUGGUUGGUCAGGAACACAAGCAGAUAUCAGACAACCGCCCAGGGUGCCUAUUCAAAGAGAAGGCGCUUUCACU
Molecule: long non-coding RNA, 1680 nt
Organism: Equus caballus (horse)
Lineage: Eukaryota; Metazoa; Chordata; Mammalia; Perissodactyla; Equidae
Source: Ensembl